CGUACACUCCUGCGGGAGGCAGCAGUGGGGAAUAUUGGACAAUGGGCGCAAGCCUGAUCCAGCCAUGCCGCGUGAGUGAUGAAGGCCCUAGGGUUGUAAAGCUCUUUCACCGGUGAAGAUAAUGACGGUAACCGGAGAAGAAGCCCCGGCUAACUUCGUGCCAGCAGCCGCGGUAAUACGAAGGGGGCUAGCGUUGUUCGGAUUUACUGGGCGUAAAGCGCACGUAGGCGGACUAUUAAGUCAGGGGUGAAAUCCCGGGGCUCAACCCCGGAACUGCCUUUGAUACUGGUAGUCUUGAGUUCGAGAGAGGUGAGUGGAAUUCCGAGUGUAGAGGUGAAAUUCGUAGAUAUUCGGAGGAACACCAGUGGCGAAGGCGGCUCACUGGCUCGAUACUGACGCUGAGGUGCGAAAGCGUGGGGAGCAAACAGGAUUAGAAACCCUAGUAGUCCCAU
RNAcentral lists this ribosomal RNA (452 nucleotides) under uncultured organism. Its description in RNAcentral is "partial 16S ribosomal RNA". It matches the Rfam family "Bacterial small subunit ribosomal RNA", at positions 330 to 798 of the family's 1533-position model. The record is from RNAcentral.